GACGAACGCUGGCGGCGUGCUUAACACAUGCAAGUCGAACGGAAAGGCCCUGCUUUUGUGGGGUGCUCGAGUGGCGAACGGGUGAGUAACACGUGAGUAACCUGCCCUUGACUUUGGGAUAACUUCAGGAAACUGGGGCUAAUACCGGAUAGGAGCUCCUGCUGCAUGGUGGGGGUUGGAAAGUUUCGGCGGUUGGGGAUGGACUCGCGGCUUAUCAGCUUGUUGGUGGGGUAGUGGCUUACCAAGGCUUUGACGGGUAGCCGGCCUGAGAGGGUGACCGGCCACAUUGGGACUGAGAUACGGCCCAGACUCCUACGGGAGGCAGCAGUGGGGAAUAUUGCACAAUGGGCGGAAGCCUGAUGCAGCAACGCCGCGUGCGGGAUGGCGGCCUUCGGGUUGUAAACCGCUUUCGCCUGUGACGAAGCGUGAGUGACGGUAAUGGGUAAAGAAGCACCGGCUAACUACGUGCCAGCAGCCGCGGUGAUACGUAGGCUGCGAGCGUUGUCCGGAUUUAUUGGGCGUAAAGGGCUCGUAGGUGGUUGAUCGCGUCGGAAGUGUAAUCUUGGGGCUUAACCCUGAGCGUGCUUUCGAUACGGGUUGACUUGAGGAAGGUAGGGGAGAAUGGAAUUCCUGGUGGAGCGGUGGAAUGCGCAGAUAUCAGGAGGAACACCAGUGGCGAAGGCGGUUCUCUGGGCCUUUCCUGACGCUGAGGAGCGAAAGCGUGGGGAGCGAACAGGCUUAGAUACCCUGGUAGUCCACGCUGUAAACGGUGGGUACUAGGUGUGGGGUCCAUUCCACGGGUUCCGUGCCGUAGCUAACGCUUUAAGUACCCCGCCUGGGGAGUACGGCCGCAAGGCUAAAACUCAAAGGAAUUGACGGGGCCCCGCACAAGCGGCGGAGCAUGCGGAUUAAUUCGAUGCAACGCGUAGAACCUUACCUGGGUUUGACAUGGAUCGGGAGUGCUCAGAGAUGGGUGUGCCUCUUUUGGGGUCGGUUCACAGGUGGUGCAUGGCUGUCGUCAGCUCGUGUCGUGAGAUGUUGGGUUAAGUCCCGCAACGAGCGCAACCCUUGUUCACUGUUGCCAGCACGUUAUGGUGGGGACUCAGUGGAGACCGCCGGGGUCAACUCGGAGGAAGGUGGGGAUGACGUCAAGUCGUCAUGCCCCUUAUGUCCAGGGCUUCACGCAUGCUACAAUGGCUGGUACAGAGAGUGGCGAGCCUGUGAGGGUGAGCGAAUCUCGGAAAGCCGGUCUCAGUUCGGAUUGGGGUCUGCAACUCGACCUCAUGAAGUCGGAGUCGCUAGUAAUCGCAGAUCAGCAACGCUGCGGUGAAUACGUUCCCGGGGCU
This 1346-nucleotide ribosomal RNA is filed under the name uncultured bacterium. RNAcentral describes it as "partial 16S ribosomal RNA". It matches the Rfam family "Bacterial small subunit ribosomal RNA", at positions 28 to 1381 of the family's 1533-position model. The record is from RNAcentral.